RNAcentral lists this ribosomal RNA (938 nucleotides) under uncultured delta proteobacterium. RNAcentral describes it as "bacterial SSU rRNA". It matches the Rfam family "Bacterial small subunit ribosomal RNA", at positions 8 to 920 of the family's 1533-position model. The record is from RNAcentral. Lineage: Bacteria; Deltaproteobacteria.
AGAGUUUGAUCAUGGCUCAGAACGAACGCUGGCGGCGUGCUUAACACAUGCAAGUCGAACGAGAAAGUUUCCUUCGGGAAAUGAUUAAAGUGGCGCACGGGUGAGUAACGCGUAGAUAAUCUACCCCAAUAUCUGGGAUAACUACUCGAAAGGGUAGCUAAUACCGGAUACGCUUUAGCUGUAGCGAUACAAUUAGAGGAAAGGUGACCUCUCGGAGAAGUUGCCGUAUUGGGAUGAGUUUGCGUACCAUUAGCUAGUAGGUAGGGUAAUGGCCUACCUAGGCUACGAUGGUUAGCGGGUCUGAGAGGAUGAUCCGUCACACUGGAACUGGAACACGGACCAGACUCCUACGGGAGGCAGCAGUGAGGAAUAUUGCGCAAUGGGGGAAACCCUGACGCAGCGACGCCGCGUGGGUGAAGAAGGCCUUCGGGUUGUAAAGCCCUGUCAGGUGGGAAGAAGUGCAUUAUGGUUAAUACCCAUAGUGUUUGACGGUACCACCAGAGGAAGCACCGGCUAAAUCCGUGCCAGCAGCCGCGGUAAUACGGAUGGUGCGAGCGUUGUUCGGAAUUACUGGGCGUAAAGGGCGCGUAGGCGGCCCUGUAAGUCAGAUGUGAAAGCCCACGGCUCAACCGUGGAAGUGCAUCUGAAACUGCAGAGCUUGAGUAUGGGAGAGGAAAGUGGAAUUCCCGGUGUAGAGGUGAAAUUCGUAGAGAUCGGGAGGAAUACCGGUGGCGAAGGCGACUUUCUGGACCAAUACUGACGCUGAGGCGCGAAAGCGUGGGGAGCAAGCAGGAUUAGAUACCCUGGUAGUCCAUAGCUGUAAACGAUGAGAACUAGGUAUAGGGGGUAUUGACCCCUCCUGUGCCGCAGCUAACGCAUUAAGUUCUCCGCCUGGGGAGUACGGUCGCAAGAUUAAACUCAAAGGAAUUGACGGGGGC